This 253-nucleotide ribosomal RNA is filed under the name uncultured bacterium. Its description in RNAcentral is "partial 16S ribosomal RNA". It matches the Rfam family "Bacterial small subunit ribosomal RNA", at positions 524 to 776 of the family's 1533-position model. The record is from RNAcentral.
UACGUAGGGUGCGAGCGUUAAUCGGAAUUACUGGGCGUAAAGCGUGCGCAGGCGGUUCGUUGUAUCGGCGGUGAAAGCCCCGGGCUUAACCUGGGAAUGGCCGUCGAAACUGGCGAACUGGAGUGUGGCAGAGGGGGGUGGAAUUCCGCGUGUAGCAGUGAAAUGCGUAGAGAUGCGGAGGAACACCGAUGGCGAAGGCAGCCCCCUGGGCUGACACUGACGCUCAGGCACGAAAGCGUGGGGAGCAAACAGG